UGCAGCGAGGCGCUCCUAGGUGUGCGAAGCAGGCAGUUGAGGGGUGUACCCGCCAGCCAGGACCUGGGCCGCCUGUCCGAUAGGGGGAGGGAGCUGAUCUGGUCGGAAAGGUCAGGACUGAAGCAACAGUGCAAAGAAAAACAGCCUGAGGCCCACAGAUGGCAGAUGACGCGUAUGUAUAAAAGUCACUUUUAAAUUAGGAAACUUGUCACAACCUUAGUCUGAGUGCAUUCCCUGGCUCCUGGACCCGAGCCCAGCCCGGGUGGCUU
RNAcentral lists this long non-coding RNA (269 nucleotides) under Ursus maritimus (polar bear). RNAcentral describes it as "lncRNA (ENSUMAG00000011401.1)". Lineage: Eukaryota; Metazoa; Chordata; Mammalia; Carnivora; Ursidae. The record is from RNAcentral.